Molecule: ribosomal RNA, 154 nt
Filed under: uncultured bacterium
Lineage: Bacteria
Description: partial 16S ribosomal RNA
Rfam family: Bacterial small subunit ribosomal RNA
Source: RNAcentral
AGCCUGAUGCAGCCAUGCCGCGUGUAUGAAGAAGGCCUUCGGGUUGUAAAGUACUUUCAGCGGGGAGGAAGGGAGUAAAGUUAAUACCUUUGCUCAUUGACGUUACCCGCAGAAGAAGCACCGGCUAACUCCGUGCCAGCACCGCGGUAAUACA